CUGAGUAAGGGAGCAAUCCCGACCUCCAACCCUUUGUGAACGCAUCAUGUUGCUUCGGGGGCGACCCUGCCGUUCGCGGCAUUCCCCCCGGAGGUAAUCAAAACACUGCAUUAUUACGUCGGAGUAAAAAGUUAAUUUAAUA
This 142-nucleotide unclassified non-coding RNA is filed under the name uncultured Mycosphaerellaceae. Lineage: Eukaryota; Fungi; Ascomycota; Dothideomycetes; Mycosphaerellales; Mycosphaerellaceae. The record is from RNAcentral.